Long non-coding RNA from Lolium rigidum, 283 nucleotides. RefSeq lists it as uncharacterized. The record is from RefSeq and is a predicted model, not a curated record. The transcript is spliced from 3 exons. NCBI's taxonomy places the organism in Eukaryota, Viridiplantae, Streptophyta, Magnoliopsida, Poales, Poaceae.
GCUAAAGACGAUGGGCCGGUUCCGCCUUAGAUUGCAGUUCUGGACUGGAAACCGCUAUCGCAUGGAGAAGACAGGAGGUGGCGGUGGCAGCGAUUUGGGUGUUCUCGUGGUGGUGCGCUCAGGCAGAAGGAGAGCCAUGCCAAUUUUAGUAGCCAUGAUCUAAUGAGGAAAAGAGAGAAGGAGAAUAUGAGGGUAAUUCUUUUUGAAGAAGAAGAAGACCAAGGUUUGUGGAAGAAGAGAAGAAAGAACAAUCUGGGGAGUUCCCUAAAUAAGAAGACCAAGG